Molecule: long non-coding RNA, 991 nt
Filed under: Helianthus annuus (common sunflower)
Lineage: Eukaryota; Viridiplantae; Streptophyta; Magnoliopsida; Asterales; Asteraceae
Description: hypothetical non coding rna
Source: RNAcentral
AAAAUAACACAUUAUGGAAAUGGUCUAAUGUUAUUAUUUUACUUGAGAAUACAAUAGUUUUGACAGAUGAAAAUGGACCAGCUAAUUUCAAUAGUAACAAAAGAUAAAACUGUAAAAUUGUCUUCAGGCAGUAGUCACCUCCCAACUAGUAAAUUUCAUCAUCAGGUAUGUCAGGAUUCAAGAAUUUCUCAGGAUCCUUGCUAAUUGCAUCAUAACUAAGAGUAGGUUUAACGCGAUCUGGUACAGGCUCAAGUGGGAUAAUACUAUCUUGAUCAAUAACCCCAUCAAUUAUUCCAUAUUCAACCGCUUCAAUAGGAGACAUAUACCGAUCCCUAUCAAUAUCUUUCUGAACCUGUUCAUAACUCCUGCCAGUGGAUUCUGCUAUAAUUCUCGUCACGUUUUCCUUAUUAUGCAUCAUUUCCCGCGCUUGAAUUUCGACAUCUAUCGCUUGCCCGCUUGCACCUCCGAGUGGUUGGUGGAUCAUGAUUCUUGUAUUAGGCAUUGCAAGACGUUUACCUUUGGUUCCACCACCGAGAAUUAUGGAAGCGGUUGAUGCUGAUAUGCCAAGCGCAAUUGUUGAUACAUCAGCCCUCACUAGCUUCAGAACAUCAUAAAUCGCCAUUGAAGAGCUGUUUGAACCACCAGUAGAAUUAAUAAAAAGCCGGAUAUCUUUUGUAGGAUCUUGAGCAUCCAACAAAAGCAACUGACUAAUAAUCGCAUCAGCAACAAAAUCAUCAAUCUGGGUACCUAAAAACACAAUCCUUUCACGCAACAACAACCCCAUCGCAUCGGAUUCCGCGCCCCUCAUCGCCGUCGCCGGUGUCUGCGGUGAAGACGAUGAAAUAUUGAGAUUUUGUUUGUAGUCAAAUGGUGGGGAGGAGUGAAGUGAGCAUUUGAUGGAGUGGUGCGGCGGCGAUAGACGGCGGGGAGAGAAGGAUUGAAGGGGUUUUGUGGGUGGAAAGUGGCGGAGAUUGGUGGUUGAGGGGUAGUA